GUCUUUUUGAGUUUAAUUUAAAGUCUAAUCUGCCCACUGAUAAAUAUUUAAGGGCCGCAGUAUUCUGACUGUGCAAAGGUAGCAUAAUCAUUAGUCUUUUAAUUGAGGGCUUGUAUGAAUGAUUGGACGAGAUAUAAGCUGUCUCAUAAAAAUUUAAAUAGAAUUUUAUUUUUUAGUCAAAAAGCUAAAAUAAAUUUAAAAGACGAGAAGACCCUAUAGAUCUUUAUAAUUUAUUUAUAAAUUUUUUUAGGUUAUUUUUUAAAUUUAUAAAUUAAAUUAUUUUGUUGGGGUGACAAUGAAAUUUAAUAAACUUUCAUUAUUUUAUAACAUUAAUUUAUGAUUAAUUGAUCCACUAUUAGUGAUUAAAAAUUUAAGUUACCUUAGGGAUAACAGCGUAAUUAUUUUGGAGAGUUCUUAUCGAUAAAAUAGUUUGCGACCUCGAUGUUGGAUUAAGAUUAAUUCUGGGUGUAGCAGUUCAGUUUAUUAAGUCUGUUCGACUUUUAAUUUCUU
This 510-nucleotide ribosomal RNA is filed under the name Dolichopus sabinus. Its description in RNAcentral is "partial 16S ribosomal RNA". It matches the Rfam family "Bacterial large subunit ribosomal RNA", at positions 1829 to 2597 of the family's 2925-position model. The record is from RNAcentral. Lineage: Eukaryota; Metazoa; Arthropoda; Insecta; Diptera; Dolichopodidae.